This 448-nucleotide ribosomal RNA is filed under the name uncultured bacterium. RNAcentral describes it as "partial 16S ribosomal RNA". It matches the Rfam family "Bacterial small subunit ribosomal RNA", at positions 29 to 523 of the family's 1533-position model. The record is from RNAcentral.
AACGAACGCUGGCGGCAUGCCUAACACAUGCAAGUCGAACGAGACCUUCGGGUCUAGUGGCGCACGGGUGCGUAACGCGUGGGAAUCUACCCUUGGGUUCGGAAUAACAGUUAGAAAUGACUGCUAAUACCGGAUGAUGACGUAAGUCCAAAGAUUUAUCGCCCAAGGAUGAGCCCGCGUAAGAUUAGCUUGUUGGUGGGGUAAUGGCCUACCAAGGCGACGAUCUUUAGCUGGUCUGAGAGGAUGAUCAGCCACACUGGGACUGAGACACGGCCCAGACUCCUACGGGAGGCAGCAGUGGGGAAGAUUGGACAAUGGGCGAAAGCCUGAUCCAGCAAUGCCGCGUGAGUGAUGAGGCCUUAGGGUUGUAAAGCUCUUUUACCAGGGAUGAUAAUGACAGUACCUGGAGAAUAAGCUCCGGCUAACUCCGUGCCAGCAGCCGCAGUAA